GUUGUGUUUUUGUUUUUUAUUUGCAGUUCGUUGACGCUGUAAUGUGUUUGAGGUUUUCCCCUACAACAACACGAGUAUAUGCAUUUGUGUAUGUGCAUGUGUGUGUGGGUGUGUGCGUGAGUGAGUGUUGCAUUAGAAACCAUCACACACAGGAAAUCAGAAUAGCAGUCUAUUCUCUCUCUCUCUCUCUCUCCCUCUCGCACACACACACACACACACACACACACACACACACACAAACACAAACACACACACUCACACAGACACAGACACAGGCAUAUGCUGUGGCCUGUGUGCACAUCAGUGAUAUCAGAGUCUACUACAGUGACAGGCGUACACUUGUUCUCAAGCAGCCGGUCACUGGUACCUGCCACCUGCUGACACAUACAGUGUGAACAUCCAGAUUCUGUGGCUUCAUCAUGGGAAACUGCACUUCAGGGAUAAAGAAGAAAAGGAAAGGGGACUCUUCAUCAGAUGGUGGAUACGGGGCAGAUAAUAAGCCUACUGAGGACGUAACAUACGCCUCUAUUGACCACGGUACUGCCAAAGGAUCAAGAACAAGCAGAGCUAUACCUGAUAAUGACUGUGACUAUGCCACAGUUAAUGUCCCAGCAGCACUUCCAGCUGAACAGGAUUCUGAGUGCUCAUCUAAAGAAGAAUGUGCAGAUGAUUAUGUACUUAUGGGGUAAAUAUACACAAGAGGGAAAUUUCAAUCGGGCUAUUGCAAGAUGCAGGACUAGUAGAUGAUAUCAUCAGCAGGAAAAAUUGUCUAAAAUUCUGUAAUAGCGUGCAAUAGUGCAAAGUUUCCAGUUGAACUUCUCAAAACUUGAUCUUCAAUGAAAAAACUGAAAGAAAUUAAAAAAAAAAACCAUCCAACCCCAAGAUGUUUCCCUUCACUUGUAAGGGGACAUCAAGUCUGCACACAACUGUGGUUUUCCUUUUUCCAGCAGAGAAACUUGUAUCGCAUUUGACCUCUUUACAGAAGAAACUCAACCUUGGGAGAAUGUGAAACCUACAACAUUAACUAAAUAUAUGGAAGCAGUAAGUCAAUGGAAACUGGGCCUUGUGAUUGAGCUUAAAGACUUGAACAUGCAAAAGGUUCAGUUCAUCUCCAAGAACAGCAGCAUCUCCGAAUCAACAAAUCCAGUAGUGUCCGACAUACAACUGCUUGCUACAGCAUGACAUGAAUGAGUGAAAUCUUAAAGCCUCUCUGAGUUGAAGUUUUAUGUGACCUUGAAAUGAUUCUAAAUGUAUAAGUUUUGUAUUUAGAAAAAUUUGUCAACAAAAUUGAUGCAGUGAGUGUGUGUGUGUGUGUGCGUGUGCAUGUGCGCUAGUGAGAAUUACUGCACAGAUAUACUACAAAAGGAUAUCUAAGGUUUAAGAAUUUAUAUUGUUUAUGUUUGAUGCCUGAAACACCGAGACAUUAACACGUUAUCUGGAAGUAAUAAGUCAAAGAAAAAUGUUUUGCCACUAUGGCAAAAACAGUUUUAAACUUUCCAGGAGCACCAGCAUCUCCAAAUGCUAUUGCUUUUUACGACAUGACAUCAAUGACUUAAGAUUUUAAAGUCACUAUGUGGAUUUUUUUGAAUUAUACUAGUUAUGUAGAAAAAGAAAAAAUUGACAUCAAGAUUGUUGCUUUCAGCUUUCAGGGUUCAUGUGCUAAAGUAGAAGAAUUUGUUUUCUAGCACACAAAAGGAGCAACAACAGCUCGGUGACCCUAAAAACAGAAAGUGGAACUGAAGAAGCCCAGUGACUUUACAGUCAUGCUGGCUAAUACGAGGACAUCUGCUGUCUCUUCACUAUUUUCCACUGCAGAUAAGAGUUUGAUAUCUAUCAUGGUCUAUUUUUGUUGAAACAGAGUGAUAGCUUUGCUCCACCUUUAAUGUUAAGCUGUAUCAGCAAGGCUUGACGAGCACUGCUUAAAUGCCCAGACUAAAAAUGUGGCACAAAUGUAGUUCACACAAUAAAACUAAAAUUAUGUGUGCAAUUUGUGCCAUUGUUACUUUAUCAUAUUCAGGAUGGAAGAAUAUAAUCUUUAUGAAAUUCCACAAUGCAUGCAUUCUGUUUAUUUUACAGCAUACUGCUCCUGAGAACUACUGCCACACCACCUCCAUAUACUACAAAUACAUAUUUAAGUCUUGAGAAGUUGCAUGUUUUAUGUUUUGUAUGUGCAUGCGGAAAAUACACACAUUUUUGUGUAGGCCUGUAUCUAACUACAGGGUUAUUUAUAUGUUUGACUGGAUACAUGUGAAGUGGUGGAGUAGUGUACAAUACUUUACUGUAAAUUAUCUUUGUUUCAUUGUGGUAUUAUUGAUCUUUAUUACUGAUUAAAUGUACCACUUUUGUUCAUCUUUCUGUUGUAUCAAUCAACUCAGUUUUAGAAAAUAUUUGAAAGAAGUCACAGCAAUGAUCUACUUGGCUUUUAGUAAAUAAUUACAUAUAAAUAAUAAGUCAUUCUUUCCUACAUUUCAGAGAGAGGCAAUUAUAUAAUAGAAUUAUAUAUAUACUGUAGAAUGACAGCUACCUCUUUUCUGUACAACAAAAUUAAUGAGGGUAAGACAAAUUAUAGUUGUUUCAGCGUUUGAUUUAAGAGCAUAGGACCCCAGACCCUCAAAAGGAUAAACAGUAUAGCUAAUGGAUGGUUGGAUACUAUUAACAUUAUUCAGACAUCUUAGCAUGGACAGUGAUAUGGUGCAUGAUCAUGAUGAUGGACUAUAUUCUGAUCUACCAGUAGAUGGCAGAAGACUCCCUUUUUCCAGUUUCCAUUUCAUAUCCGCCUAACCCCUCUAAUAAUCCUCCUUUUAUUUGGAUGGUUCAAUGCAGAUAUUCCUCAUUCAGAUAACAUAUGGUGAGCUAUCGUUCAAAUUGUUGCUGCUUGUCUACAAAGAAUGUAAAUGUCAUCUUGCCAUUUAUCUUUUCACACUUUGUCACGCUACUUUAACUUUUGACA
This is a long non-coding RNA of Seriola aureovittata, 2950 nucleotides long. RefSeq lists it as uncharacterized. Lineage: Eukaryota; Metazoa; Chordata; Actinopteri; Carangiformes; Carangidae. The transcript has 4 exons. The record is from RefSeq and is a predicted model, not a curated record.